AGCGAACGCUGGCGGCAGGCUUAACACAUGCAAGUCGAGCGGGCAUAGCAAUAUGUCAGCGGCAGACGGGUGCGUAACGCGUGGGAACGUACCUUUUGGUUCGGAACAACACAGGGAAACUUGUGCUAAUACCGGAUAAGCCCUCACGGGGAAAGAUUUAUCGCCGAAAGAUCGGCCCGCGUCUGAUUAGCUAGUUGGUGAGGUAAUGGCUCACCAAGGCGACGAUCAGUAGCUGGUCAGAGAGGAUGAUCAGCCACAUUGGGGCUGAGACACGGCCCGAACUCCUACGGGAGGCAGCAGUGGGGAAUAUUGGACAAUGGGCGCAAGCCUGAUCCAGCCAUGCCGCGUGAGUGAUGAAGGCCGUAGGGUUGUAAAGCUAUUUUGUGCGGGAAGAUAAUGACGGUACCGAAAGAAUAAGCCCCGGCUAACUUCGUG
This 435-nucleotide ribosomal RNA is filed under the name uncultured bacterium. RNAcentral's name for it is "partial 16S ribosomal RNA". It matches the Rfam family "Bacterial small subunit ribosomal RNA", at positions 29 to 507 of the family's 1533-position model. The record is from RNAcentral.